This 253-nucleotide ribosomal RNA is filed under the name uncultured bacterium. RNAcentral describes it as "partial 16S ribosomal RNA". It matches the Rfam family "Bacterial small subunit ribosomal RNA", at positions 524 to 776 of the family's 1533-position model. The record is from RNAcentral.
UACGUAGGUGGCAAGCGUUGUCCGGAAUCACUGGGCGUAAAGGGCGCGUAGGUGGCGACCCAAGUCGAUGGUGAAAGCUCGCCGCUCAACGGCGAGUCGGCCACCGAUACUGGGUUGCUGGAGCACUGUAGAGGCUCAUGGAAUUCCGGGUGUAGCGGUGGAAUGCGUAGAGAUCCGGAAGAACACCGGUGGCGAAGGCGGUGAGCUGGGCAGUUGCUGACACUGAGGCGCGACAGCGUGGGGAGCAAACAGG